RNAcentral lists this transfer RNA (71 nucleotides) under Thylacodes decussatus. RNAcentral describes it as "tRNA-Val". The record is from RNAcentral. Lineage: Eukaryota; Metazoa; Mollusca; Gastropoda; Littorinimorpha; Vermetidae.
GGGAGUGAAGCAUUAAAAUAGUAAUGCGUUUCGUUUACACUGAAAAGAUCUUUGGUUAUAAAGCAUUCCUU